GUUCUUUAGAAGAGAUAGACAAUUGCCUGCUUUUGGAAGGUUUUCAGCUGAAAUUUGCUAGAAAUCAGUAGAUUACUUCAGAUUUCAGCCCAGAGAAGGCAGGAUCUUAACAAUGUGUAUAAAUAUCUAAAGGGAGGGUGAAAAAGGAUGGAGACAUACUGUAUUCUGUGGUGCCCAGUGCCAGGAAAAGAAGCAGUGAGAACAAACUGGAACACGAGUGGUUCCCUCAGAAGACUGGAAAGCACUGCUGAAUUGUGCAGGCAAAACUAUCGAAGCUGAUAAAGCACUCUGUUUACUGGAGAUACCAAAACCAGUGCAAGAAUUGGCAAGGUUGUGUUCCCUAGACUUUAGCUUCUUUACUCAUUACUGCAAGUUUGGAAGGUG
Long non-coding RNA from Gallus gallus (chicken), 384 nucleotides. Lineage: Eukaryota; Metazoa; Chordata; Aves; Galliformes; Phasianidae. The record is from Ensembl.